UCCAGGUAUUGUGCUAAGCACUUUACAUAAAUUUUCCAUUUGAUCCUCAUAAUAACCAUGAAAAGAAGACAAUAUUAUCUCUAUUUUAAAGACGAAAAAUUUACAGCUCAGACCAGGUACAUAACUUGCCCAAAGUCACACAAGGAGUAAGUGGUAGGACUGAUUUUUAAUCCCCAUCUGGUUUACUUCAAAGCCUUAACCACGACUCUUCUACCACACCAAGCAAAUGAUGACAGGAAUAGAAGCGUAGCCUUGGAAUGAUGUUUUCUUGCUUCAAGUACUGGUGCUUGGUCCCAACGGCAGGCACCUUCAAUUUAGAGUACUCAGAAGGUAGCCGUAUGGGCCCCUUGGUCUCAUAUAUUUUUUUCUAGGUUGCAGAUCCAGAGCCCUCAGCACUGUGUACAAGAAACCUACUUUUGCACUUCUCACACUCCCUGUUAACUCCCUGUGUAAUAAUAAACCUAACAUUUCCAGGCAUGGUGCUAAUCUCUCCAUGUAUUAUCUCAUCUGAUCAUCCCAUGAGCUAGGCAUUAUUAUUUCCAUCUCACAGAUAAGAAUGUAGAGAUGCUAAGGUGCUUCUGAAGAAGGCAGGAAGAAACACAGAUGGAAUUUGAAGCCUGGCUUUUGUCUCAGAACCUCAAACUCUGAGCCACUACAUUAUGUUGCCAGCUGUCUCUAGCUCUCUCUCUCUUCCUCUCUCUCUCUCUCUUCCCCCUACUAGAUUAUAAGAUCUGUGAGACUAGUGAUCAUGUCUUUUUUUUUUCUGAGACAGGGUCUCACUCUGUCACCCAGGCUGGAGUAUAGUAGCACAAUCUUGGCUCACUGCAACCUCCACCUCCCAUGCUCAGGCCUCCAGAGUAGCUGGUACUACAGGUGUGCAUCACCACACCCAGCUAAUUUUUGGAAUUUUUGUAGAGACGGAGUUUUGUCAUGUUGCCCAGGCUGGUCUCGAACUCCUGAGCUCAAGCAAUCUGCCUACCUUAGCCUGCCAAAGUGCUGGGAGUACAGGUGUGAGCCACCGCACCCAGCCGAUCAUGUCUUUUUAUGUUUGCAACCCCAGUGCCUAGUACAGUGCCAGGCAUUCAGAAGAUCUUCAAUACUACUUGUAAAUGAAUAGAGGGAUGGGUAGAUGGAUGAUGGUGGAUGAAUAAAGAGAGGGAUGAAUGGAUAGAUGGAGGGCUAGGUAGACAAAUGGAUGAUGGAUAGAUAAAGAUAUGGAGACAUAGAUUAAGGGAGAAAAAAGAGGGAUGAGUGGAUAAAGAGAUGGAUGAAGGGAUGGAGGAAGGGAUGGAGGAAAGAAUGAAGGGAAGGAUCAGGGACAGAUGAAUGGAGGUUUAGGUAAAUAGGUGAAUAGAUGGAUGGAUGGAUGAUGGAUGGAUGGAUGGAUGGAGAGAUGCAUGGAGGGAGAGAGCUAAGGAGGAUGGAGGGAUAGAUGGAUAGGAGAAUAAAAGGAGGGAAGGAAAGGGGAUGGAUGAAAGGAGAGAUGGGUGGAUAAAUGAAUGGAUGAUUGGAUGGUUGGAUGAAUGAUGGAAGAAGAGUGGAUCAUGAAUACUUUGAUGGCAGCACCAUGAGCCGCUGACAGGGCAGUGCUUGCCACUGAUUUUCUUGUCUCUGCUUUCCUCAGGUCUGGAUUCUGAGCUUUUCAUCCUCUCCUCUUUUGCCUUUGCCCACACUCCUGAUUCUUCUCCAGUUUUCCAUCAGUUGGUCAAGCCAGACUCCCUUCCCUCUCCUCUGACUUAGAUUUCUGAUCUCCACUUGACCCCCUCACUGGGAACCACAGUGGCCUACAGCUCUGUGUGUACAUGACCUGGUCCCCAUUACUUCUGAUGGACCCCAUCACCUGCUGCUCUUUCUCUCACAUACUCUGAUCUGGCUGCAGUUGCCUCCUUACUGUUCCUCAGACACUCCAGGCAUGCCCUGAAUUCUUUGCACAUUCUCCUCACCCUUUCUCUCUCUGGAAUGCUUUCUCUGGACACUUGUGUGGCUCCCUUUCUUCCCAUCCUCAGUUUUUGCUUAGACACCACUUUCUCAAUGAGUCAGUCCUCUCAGCUACUGCCUCUCCCCCUUUCCUGUUUAUUUUUCUCUAUAGCCAUUAUCACCAUUUGGCAAACUAACAUGUAUUAUGUGUUCAUUUGUCUCACCCAACUAGCGUGUAAUCUCCAUGAGGGCAGUGAGCUUUGUAGGGUUGUAUGGUUCACAGCUGAAGCCUGCAGCAUUUACAAUAGCACCUGAUGUGAUGUAGGCACUCAAUACAUAUAUUUGAAAUGACAACAAAUCAACACACAUAUCUCAAGUAUCUGGUGUACGUAAGACCCUGCGUUAUUGGUUACCACCUGAUAACCUGAGUCUGAAAACCUCUUUCAUUUCAGGUCCAUGGUGGUGUGGGAGCAGAUGUGCCCCAGGGCAUGGACAGGAAGGUUGGAACCUGUGUCAUGGAGCAGGAGCAGAGCGAGACUCUGUGCGGUUAUGUGAAGCGAAGUGGCUAUACCUUGCCCCAGAGUGAAGAAGGAAGGGGGAAAUGUGGAGCCUGAGACAGACACUCACAGAGGCCAGGUGAUGUAAAGAGACAUCCACAUCCUCAUCUGACCAUCUACAAGCUCAGAAGAGAGGUCUGGAACAGCUCCUUCCCUCACAGCCAUCAGAAGGAAUCAACUCUGCCCACAUCCUCAUCUGGGACUUCCCAGUUUCUGAACUUGGAGAAAAUAAAUUUCUGUUAUUUAAGCCACCUGGUCUGUGAUACUUUGUUACAGCAACCCUGGCAAACUAAUACAACAGGGAGGAGAAAGGCACUCAAACUUCAUGGUUCAGGAAUUGUUCUUUUAAAGGAGAGGGGUCUGGGUGUGCAGGCACACGAAA
This 2856-nucleotide long non-coding RNA is filed under the name Homo sapiens (human). RNAcentral describes it as "HSALNT0020864". Lineage: Eukaryota; Metazoa; Chordata; Mammalia; Primates; Hominidae. The record is from RNAcentral.